UUCUGUUUUUACCCAUUGCCCUUUCGAUCGAAGAUCCGACCGUUCGGGUUGUUAUGCCAAAGAAAGUUCUGCUCCUUCCCGCUUCCUUCUCUCGUUCGUCCUUCCUAAACUAAACUUCUCAUCAUCUGACGCCUCUACCCCGCCUUCUGCUCAGCUUCUCCCUCUCAAACUGUAACCUCAGUUGAUUCUCUCGGUGCAAAAGCUGAUCUCUUGCGUCCCAUAUCGAGCCAGGAGAGAGGUCUACUGACCCAAACAAACCUCUCGAAGAGAGAAGAGAUCACCCGCGCCAUCGAUGAGCUCGUUGUGCUCUAUGAUGGCACUGUGACGGCACUGUGCCGACCAACUCAUCUCUCUUCGGUACAUAGAGAAUGCUUUGAACGAUGGAGAAGGAUCAACUAUUCAUUAUCAAGAAUGCGGCCCUUUGGUCAAGGAUGUUCUUGUGAGAGAGAAGAUUGAAGAAUAAA
Phalaenopsis equestris is the source of this 464-nucleotide long non-coding RNA. RefSeq lists it as uncharacterized. Lineage: Eukaryota; Viridiplantae; Streptophyta; Magnoliopsida; Asparagales; Orchidaceae. The record is from RefSeq and is a predicted model, not a curated record. The transcript is spliced from 2 exons.